UACGGAAGGCAGCAGUGGGGAAUAUUGCACAAUGGGCGCAAGCCUGAUGCAGCCAUGCCGCGUGUAUGAAGAAGGCCUUCGGGUUGUAAAGUACUUUCAGUCGUGAGGAAGGUGUUAAGGUUAAUAACCUUAGCAAUUGACGUUAGCGACAGAAGAAGCACCGGCUAACUCCGUGCCAGCAGCCGCGGUAAUACGGAGGGUGCGAGCGUUAAUCGGAAUUACUGGGCGUAAAGGGCACGCAGGCGGUUAAUUAAGUUGGAUGUGAAAUCCCCGGGCUUAACCUGGGAAUGGCAUUCAAGACUGGUUAGCUAGAGUCUUGUAGAGGGGGUAGAAUUCCAUGUGUAGCGGUGAAAUGCGUAGAGAUGUGGAGGAAUACCGGUGGCGAAGGCGGCCCCUGGACAAAGGCUGACGCUCAUGUGCGAAAGCGUGGGGAGCAAACGAGGAUUAGAU
RNAcentral lists this ribosomal RNA (450 nucleotides) under uncultured bacterium. Its description in RNAcentral is "bacterial SSU rRNA". It matches the Rfam family "Bacterial small subunit ribosomal RNA", at positions 340 to 783 of the family's 1533-position model. The record is from RNAcentral.